UACGUAGGGUGCGAGCGUUAAUCGGAAUUAUUGGGCGUAAAGGGCGCGUAGGCGAUCCGACAAGUCUGGUGUGAAAGCCCACAUGUUAACUGUGGAAGUGCAUUAGAAACUGUUGGAUUUGAGUUCAGGAGAGGAAGGCAGAAUUCCCGGUGUAGCGGUGAAAUGCGCAGAUAUCGGGAGGAACACCUAUGGCGAAGGCAGCUCGCUGGGACGUUACUGACGCUGAGACGCGAAAGCGUGGGGAGCAAACAGG
Molecule: ribosomal RNA, 253 nt
Filed under: uncultured bacterium
Lineage: Bacteria
Description: partial 16S ribosomal RNA
Rfam family: Bacterial small subunit ribosomal RNA
Source: RNAcentral